RNAcentral lists this ribosomal RNA (480 nucleotides) under uncultured bacterium. RNAcentral's name for it is "partial 16S ribosomal RNA". It matches the Rfam family "Bacterial small subunit ribosomal RNA", at positions 28 to 523 of the family's 1533-position model. The record is from RNAcentral.
GACGAACGCUGGCGGCGUGCUUAACACAUGCAAGUCGAGCGGUAAGGCUCCUUCGGGAGUACACGAGCUGCGAACGGGUGAGUAACACGUGAGCAAUCUGCCCUUCUCAUCGGAAUAACCAUUGGAAACGAUGGCUAAUGCCGAAUACGACUUCCUUUCGCAUGUCAGGAAGUGGAAAGCUCCGGCGGAGAAGGAUGAGCUCGCGGCCUAUCAGCUUGUUGGGGAGGUAAUGGCUCACCAAGGCGACGACGGGUAGCCGGCCUGAGAGGGUGACCGGCCACACUGGGACUGAGACACGGCCCAGACUCCUACGGGAGGCAACAGUGGGGAAUAUUGGACAAGGGGCGAAAGCCUGAUCCAGCAACGCCGCGUGAGGGAUGACGGCCUUCGGGUUGUAAACCUCUUUCAGCAGGGACGAAGCGAAAGUGACGGUACCUGCAGAAGAAGGACCGGCCAACUACGUGCCAGCCGCCGCCGUAA